ACGGAAGGCAGCAGUGGGGAAUAUUGCACAAUGGGGGAAACCCUGAUGCAGCGACGCCGCGUGAGUGAAGAAGUAUUUCGGUAUGUAAAGCUCUAUCAGCAGGGAAGAAAAUGACGGUACCUGACUAAGAAGCCCCGGCUAACUACGUGCCAGCAGCCGCGGUAAUACGUAGGGGGCAAGCGUUAUCCGGAUUUACUGGGUGUAAAGGGCGCGUAGGCGGGGAAGCAAGUCAGAUGUGAAAUCUAUGGGCUUAACUCAUAAACUGCAUUUGAAACUGUUUCUCUUGAGUGCUGGAGAGGUAGAUGGAAUUCCUAGUGUAGCGGUGAAAUGCGUAGAUAUUAGGAAGAACACCAGUGGCGAAGGCGAUCUACUGGACAGUAACUGACGCUGAGGCGCGAAAGCGUGGGGAGCAAACAGGAUUAGAUACCCUGGUA
RNAcentral lists this ribosomal RNA (434 nucleotides) under uncultured Clostridiales Family XIV bacterium. RNAcentral's name for it is "bacterial SSU rRNA". It matches the Rfam family "Bacterial small subunit ribosomal RNA", at positions 341 to 792 of the family's 1533-position model. The record is from RNAcentral. Lineage: Bacteria; Bacillati; Bacillota; Clostridia; Eubacteriales; Clostridiales Family XIV. Incertae Sedis.